RNAcentral lists this long non-coding RNA (277 nucleotides) under Homo sapiens (human). RNAcentral describes it as "non-protein coding lnc-C11orf95-3:1". Lineage: Eukaryota; Metazoa; Chordata; Mammalia; Primates; Hominidae. The record is from RNAcentral.
GGCCCUGGUACUGGUGAACGCUGCUGUGACUCAGUUGAAGCCUUGAUUGGCCACAUUUCAGUACUACGCCGAGGUGGAGUUGGUUCCUCCAAACCCUGCUGAGAUCCCUAGAGUUAUUCAGGGCCUGGAAAAAAAAGUCAAUAGCGCUCAAACUGGUAGCUUCAAACAGCUCACAGUCAAGGAAGCUGUGUUGAAUGUUUCAGAGGUCACUGGGGUGUGGAUGUGGUUUUAUGUCACAGAGAUCAUAGGUGAGUGUGGCAUCACUGGCUACAAUGUU